GCAGUGGGGAAUAUUGCACAAUGGGGGAAACCCUGAUGCAGCCAUGCCGCGUGUGUGAAGAAGGCCUUCGGGUUGUAAAGCACUUUCAGUAGGGAGGAAGGGUUGAUGUCUAAUACGCAUCAGCAUUGAAGUUACCUACAGAAGAAGCACCGGCUAACUCCGUGCCAGCAG
This 171-nucleotide ribosomal RNA is filed under the name uncultured Pseudomonadota bacterium. RNAcentral describes it as "uncultured proteobacterium partial 16S ribosomal RNA". It matches the Rfam family "Bacterial small subunit ribosomal RNA", at positions 351 to 514 of the family's 1533-position model. The record is from RNAcentral. Lineage: Bacteria; Pseudomonadati; Pseudomonadota.